GACGAACGCUGGCGGCGUGCCUAAUACAUGCAAGUAGAACGCUGAAGCUUGGUGCUUGCACCGAGCGGAUGAGUUGCGAACGGGUGAGUAACGCGUAGGUAACCUGCCUGGUAGCGGGGGAUAACUAUUGGAAACGAUAGCUAAUACCGCAUAAUAGUAGAUGUUGCAUGACAUUUGCUUAAAAGGUGCAAUUGCAUCACUACCAGAUGGACCUGCGUUGUAUUAGCUAGUUGGUGAGGUAACGGCUCACCAAGGCAACGAUACAUAGCCUACCUGAGAGGGUGAUCGGCCACACUGGGACUGAGACCAGGCCCAGGAUUCUAAGGGAGGCAGCAGUAGGGAAUCUUCGGAAAUGGACGGAAGUCUGACCGAGCAACGCCGCGUGAGUGAAGAAGGUUUUCGGAUCGUAAAGCUCUGUUGUAAGAGAAGAAAGAGUGUGAGAGUGGAAAGUUCACACUGUGACGGUAUCUUACCAGAAAGGGACGGCUAACUACGUG
Molecule: ribosomal RNA, 497 nt
Filed under: uncultured bacterium
Lineage: Bacteria
Description: partial 16S ribosomal RNA
Rfam family: Bacterial small subunit ribosomal RNA
Source: RNAcentral